AUACCAUGGUGUGGGCAAUUCUUCAACAACAUCUUAAAGCAUUUGAAUGCCUCGUGAAAUAACUCCCCAGACUAUUGUUGAAAAUUUCUGAUAUCCUUCCUAGCAU
Helianthus annuus (common sunflower) is the source of this 106-nucleotide non-coding RNA. NCBI's taxonomy places the organism in Eukaryota, Viridiplantae, Streptophyta, Magnoliopsida, Asterales, Asteraceae. The record is from Rfam.